GCCGGGGUGGCCGAGCCAGGUCCAAGGCGCGGGCCUGGAGAGUCCGUCCCCGCAAGGGGGCCCGGGUUCAAAUCCCGGCCCCGGCA
Molecule: transfer RNA, 86 nt
Filed under: Vulcanisaeta sp.
Lineage: Archaea; Thermoproteati; Thermoproteota; Thermoprotei; Thermoproteales; Thermoproteaceae
Description: tRNA-Ser
Rfam family: tRNA
About the family: Transfer RNA (tRNA) molecules are approximately 80 nucleotides in length. Their secondary structure includes four short double-helical elements and three loops (D, anti-codon, and T loops).
Source: RNAcentral